RNAcentral lists this ribosomal RNA (252 nucleotides) under uncultured bacterium. RNAcentral describes it as "partial 16S ribosomal RNA". It matches the Rfam family "Bacterial small subunit ribosomal RNA", at positions 524 to 776 of the family's 1533-position model. The record is from RNAcentral.
UACGUAGGGUGCAAGCGUUGUCCGGAAUUAUUGGGCGUAAAGAGCUCGUAGGCGGUCUGUUGCGUCGGCUGUGAAAACCCGGGGCUCAACUCCGGGCCUGCAGCCGAUACGGGCAGACUAGAGUUCGGCAGGGGAGACUGGAAUCCUGGUGUAGCGGUGAAAUGCGCAGAUAUCAGGAGGAACACCGGUGGCGAAGGCGGGUCUCUGGGCCGAUACUGACGCUGAGGAGCGAAAGCGUGGGGAGCGAACAGG